GACUAACGCUGGCGGCGUGCUUAACACAUGCAAGUCGAACGGUGAAGCGCCUUCCUUUUUGGUGGGUGUGGAUGAGUGGCGAACGGGUGAGUAACACGUGAGUAACCUGCCCCCUUCUUCUGGAUAACCGCAUGAAAGUGUGGCUAAUACGGGAUAUUCUGGGUCUGUCGCAUGAUGGGUCUGGGAAAGAUAUUGUUUCGGUGGGGGAUGGGCUCGCGGCCUAUCAGCUUGUUGGUGGGGUGAUGGCCUACCAAGGCGGUGACGGGUAGCCGGCCUGAGAGGGUGGACGGUCACACUGGGACUGAGACACGGCCCAGACUCCUACGGGAGGCAGCAGUGGGGAAUAUUGCACAAUGGGCGCAAGCCUGAUGCAGCGACGCCGCGUGAGGGAUGGAGGCCUUCGGGUUGUGAACCUCUUUCGCCAGUGAAGCAGGCCUGCCUCGUUUGUGGGUGGGUUGACGGUAGCUGGAUAAGAAGCGCCGGCUAACUACGUG
This 494-nucleotide ribosomal RNA is filed under the name uncultured bacterium. RNAcentral describes it as "partial 16S ribosomal RNA". It matches the Rfam family "Bacterial small subunit ribosomal RNA", at positions 28 to 507 of the family's 1533-position model. The record is from RNAcentral.